This 486-nucleotide ribosomal RNA is filed under the name uncultured bacterium. Its description in RNAcentral is "partial 16S ribosomal RNA". It matches the Rfam family "Bacterial small subunit ribosomal RNA", at positions 28 to 507 of the family's 1533-position model. The record is from RNAcentral.
GACGAACGCUGGCGGCGUGCUUAACACAUGCAAGUCGAACGCUGAAGCCCUGGCUUUUGUUGGGUUGGAUGAGUGGCGAACGGGUGAGUAACACGUGAGUAACCUGCCCUCUUCUUUGGGAUAACGCCCGGAAACGGGUGCUAAUACUGGAUAUUCACUGGCCUUCGCAUGGGGGUUGGUGGAAAGGUUUGUUCUGGUGGGGGAUGGGCUCGCGGCCUAUCAGCUUGUUGGUGGGGUGAUGGCCUACCAAGGCUUUGACGGGUAGCCGGCCUGAGAGGGUGACCGGUCACAUUGGGACUGAGAUACGGCCCAGACUCCUACGGGAGGCAGCAGUGGGGAAUAUUGCACAAUGGGCGAAAGCCUGAUGCAGCGACGCCGCGUGAGGGAUGGAGGCCUUCGGGUUGUAAACCUCUUUCGCUCAUGGUCAAGCCGCAACUGUGGGUUGUGGUGAGGGUAGUGGGUAAAGAAGCGCCGGCUAACUACGUG